Long non-coding RNA from Hypanus sabinus (Atlantic stingray), 178 nucleotides. RefSeq lists it as uncharacterized. NCBI's taxonomy places the organism in Eukaryota, Metazoa, Chordata, Chondrichthyes, Myliobatiformes, Dasyatidae. The record is from RefSeq and is a predicted model, not a curated record. The transcript has 4 exons.
GCCAAAUUCAACAACUCCUUCUUCUUCGUGUCUUUCUGCAAAGGGAAGGUCAGACGCAGCAUACGUACACCUGGAAAUGGGUUUGGCCAAUACAGUCCCCUUGCAGGGACAGCUGUUUUUCAACUUGAGGGGGCCGACGAACACACCGCAACUGAACCUCCGGUGGCUACUCGCCUUG